UACGGAGGGUGCAAGCGUUAUCCGGAUUUACUGGGUUUAAAGGGUGUGUAGGCGGUCUAUUAAGUCAGCGGUGAAAUCUCCGGGCUCAACCCGGAAACUGCCAUUGAUACUAUUAGUCUUGAAUGUUGUUGAGGUGGGCGGAACGGGUCAUGUAGCGGUGAAAUGCAUAGAUAUGACCCGGAACACCGAUUGCGAAGGCAGCCCACUAAGCAACGAUUGACGCUGAGGCACGAAAGCGUGGGGAUCAAACAGG
This 253-nucleotide ribosomal RNA is filed under the name uncultured bacterium. RNAcentral's name for it is "partial 16S ribosomal RNA". It matches the Rfam family "Bacterial small subunit ribosomal RNA", at positions 524 to 776 of the family's 1533-position model. The record is from RNAcentral.